This 440-nucleotide ribosomal RNA is filed under the name uncultured bacterium. Its description in RNAcentral is "partial 16S ribosomal RNA". It matches the Rfam family "Bacterial small subunit ribosomal RNA", at positions 338 to 795 of the family's 1533-position model. The record is from RNAcentral.
CCUACGGGUGGCAGCAGUAGGGAAUUUUGCGCAAUGGGGGAAACCCUGACGCAGCAACGCCGCGUGAUCGAUGAAGCACUUCGGGGUGUAAAGCUCUAUCAGCAGGGAAGAAAAUGACGGUACCUGAGUAAGAAGCCCCGGCUAACUACGUGCCAGCAGCCGCGGGAAUACGUAGGGGGCAAGCGGUAUCCGGAUUUACUGGGUGAAAAGGGAGCGUAGACGGCAGUGCAAGUCUGGAGUGAAAGGCGGGGGCGCAACCCCCGGACUGCUCUGGAAACUGUACGGCUGGAGUGCAGGAGAGGUAAGUGGAAUUCCUAGUGUAGCGGUGAAAUGCGUAGAUAUUAGGAGGAACACCAGUGGCGAAGGCGGCUUACUGGACUGUAACUGACGUUGAGGCUCGAAAGCGUGGGGAGCAAACAGGAUUAGAUACCCUAGUAGUC